Molecule: non-coding RNA, 71 nt
Organism: Phrynosoma platyrhinos (Desert horned lizard)
Lineage: Eukaryota; Metazoa; Chordata; Lepidosauria; Squamata; Phrynosomatidae
Source: the annotation of a GenBank genome assembly
GCCAAUGUGGUGUAGUGGGUUGAGCGUCAGAGUACAACUCUGGAGACCAGGGUUCGAUUUCCAGGUUGUCC